CAAUCUGUUACUUCCAACACAAACUAUGGGUUUUAAACAGUAUGUAACAGGGUUACUCGCUAAGGUGAGAAUUGUCGGAAAUUUCAGGUGAAUAUAUAAUGCCAAACAUUCAAUUUGAAAGUCACUUGGCAUUCCUGACAAUGCUCACCUUGGUGGAUAACGAUGUAUGUAUGAACUUUUCAGAUUUAUUUUUUUGCCUCAAUGUAGCAGCAUAAAGGGACAAAUGUUUUACUUAAUUUGUGUGUACCCUUAUUUAGUGUCACCAGGACCAUCACAGCUAGUUCCCUAUGGCUGUCAUACUAUUGCUCUUUCAAUAGUUGGGUAGCUUAACAUUUAAGAUGUACAUUAGUAGUUUAAAUUCAAUGCAGACGACAUCAUUUAACUACCCUGAGCCAUGUUCCAAAUGUUGCUCUAAUUAGAUUUAUUGUAGGCUGCUUAACACUAGGUUUGAAUUAAGUGCUG
This is a non-coding RNA of Pelobates cultripes (western spadefoot toad), 462 nucleotides long. The record is from the annotation of a GenBank genome assembly. Lineage: Eukaryota; Metazoa; Chordata; Amphibia; Anura; Pelobatidae.